RNAcentral lists this ribosomal RNA (253 nucleotides) under uncultured bacterium. RNAcentral describes it as "partial 16S ribosomal RNA". It matches the Rfam family "Bacterial small subunit ribosomal RNA", at positions 524 to 776 of the family's 1533-position model. The record is from RNAcentral.
UACGUAGGGUGCGAGCGUUGUCCGGAAUUACUGGGCGUAAAGAGCUCGUAGGUGGUUUGUCGCGUUGUUCGUGAAAACUCACAACUCAAUUGUGGGCGUGCGGGCGAUACGGGCAGACUGGAGUACUGCAGGGGAGACUGGAAUUCCUGGUGUAGCGGUGGAAUGCGCAGAUAUCAGGAGGAACACCGGUGGCGAAGGCGAGUCUCUGGACAGUUACCGACGCUGAGGCACGAAGGUCAGGGGAGCAAACGGG